This 1830-nucleotide unclassified non-coding RNA is filed under the name uncultured fungus. Its description in RNAcentral is "sequence contains 18S rRNA gene, ITS1, 5.8S rRNA gene, ITS2, 28S rRNA gene". The stretch from base 793 to 1830 matches the Rfam family "Eukaryotic large subunit ribosomal RNA", at positions 1 to 961 of the family's 3401-position model. Lineage: Eukaryota; Fungi. The record is from RNAcentral.
GGAAGGAUCAUUGAAAAGUCUGUAGUAGGGGGGGGGAACCCCGGAAGAUAGGUGAGAUGGCAACUGAUGUUGAUAUCUUUUCUUGAAACUGGGAAAUAAAAGCCACUGGUGACUAUUGUGUUGCCGCCGUGCUGGCUGCUGAUAGCAAAACCAGCUGCUGGUGCUCCUUUUUUUGAUUUCCACUUUUGAUUCCUGCCUGAUGAAUUGAGGGUGUGCUAUGUGCUCCCGAUAGAAACCUGUAAAUAACUUUUAACAAUGGAUCUCUUGGCUCUCGCAUCGAUGAAGGACGCAGCGAAAUGCGAUAGGUAGUGUGAAUUGCAGAAUUCAGUGAAUCAUCGAAUCUUUGAACGCACAUUGCGCCCUUUGGUAUUCCAGAGGGCACUCCUGUUUGUACCAAAAGUAGGAAGGGGGGGGGGUGUGAGACACGCUUUUAAGUGUGUCAUAUCCCCAGGAGCUGGACUUGUGAUGGCUUAGUCAUCCAGUCCUGACUGUGAUGUGUGUGAAAUAAGUUUUUGCAUCCGCAGGCCAGGUAGUCCAUGUUACAUCCUGUUUCACUCUGACUGAUGCGCAAGUCACACUCUUUUUGGUUUGCACUUUUGCUUGCGUUAUAUGCUUUUGUUAGAUAGCAUCGCUGUACUUUAGUGCAAAACAAAAAACCCAAAACAAGUAUAUAUUGAUUUUAUUACUAAUAGUGUGAUACUAUGUAAUAAACUGAUAUGUAGUUUGUUUUGCUUUUCAGAGGAUAGUGAUGAUGCAGCUCGUUAGAAAUUCAGGUUGAUUUUUAUCAGGAUUUGUGUCCAAAUCAGGAGGGAUUACCCGCUGAACUUAAGCAUAUUAAUAAGCGGAGGAAAAGAAACUAACAAGGAUUCCCUUAGUAACGGCGAGUGAAGCGGGAGGAGCUCAAUUUUGGAAUCGAUAAAGUAUAUUUGUCGAGUUGUAGUCUAAAGACACGUUUUCUGGGGCUGGUCUGGAAUAAAUCCCUUGGAAUGGGGUGUCAUAGAGGGUGAAAAUCCCGUCUCUGGCCAGACGUAGUUAGUCGAAGUGUGAUACGUGUUCAAAGAGUCGCGUUGUUUGGGAAUGCAGCGCAAAUUGGGUGGUAAAUUUCAUCCAAAGCUAAAUACUGGCGAGAGACCGAUAGUGAACAAGUACCGUGAGGGAAAGAUGAAAAGAACUUUGAAAAGAGAGUUAAAAAGUACGUGAAAUUGUUAAAAGGGAAACGCACGGAAUCAGACUGAGUUUGACGGGAGGCUUUGCUGGCAGAAACUUGGACCUGUUGUUUCUUUGGUAGCAGACAGGCCCUAAGCUUUGCCACUGCAAGUUCCGCCUCUACGUUGACGGUUGACGUCAGCUUCUCGCCGUCCAACAGUGCUAUCUCUUUGGUUUUGGCCAGGGGUGAUUGCGGGCGGCAGAGGCUGAGGACUGCAGCGCGACAUGGGGGAAACCCUGUGGAUGUGACGCCAGUAAUGUGCGCGUGCGCUAUGGAUCGUUCAACUUAAUGGUUCUGUACGACCCGUCUUGAAACACGGACCAAGGAGUCUAACAUGUAUGCGAGUACUUGGGAUCUAAACCUGUGUGCGCAAUGAAAGUGAAUGGAGGUGGGAACCCCUCGUCUUGUGGGGGGGUGCACCAUCAACCGAUCUGGAUAUUUUUUGAUGGAUUUGAGUUAGAGCAUACCUGUUGGGACCCGAAAGAUGGUGAACUAUACCUGAAUAGGGUGAAGUCAGAGGAAACUCUGAUGGAGGCUCGUAGCGAUUCUGACGUGCAAAUCGAUCGUCGAAUUUGGGUAUAGGGGCGAAAGACUAAUCGAACCAUCUAGUAGCUGGUUCCUGC